CUCGUCAGCAGAGGGCGACUCCUCUGAGGAGGCUUCAGGCUCUGUGAGGAGAAAGAGAUUUAAAUUCAAGAAAGAAAGGAAAGAAAAAGUUAAUUAAAAAGCUGCAGUGGAGGCAUCCCAGCAGGUCUCCAGAUGCCCUCUGGAGGAGGCGUGGACAAAGGUUUUAAAUCCGGGAGGUUCAGAAGAAGUACAUUUCCUGAGGCUACUACUGAGUCUCUUAAAGAAGGCAAACAGCUUUUUUUCCCCCCAGCAUAUUUUAAUUUGUUAUUUCACUUGUAAAUUGCACAGGUUUCGCACUGUGAAGGUCCAGUUUGUACGAUUUACAGCAGUGAGGUUGCAGACUGCAACCAACUAAAUAGCACUCCCUUCACCGUCCCAUUUCCAGAACCUUUAGUGGCCACGAAACACUGCAAAAGGCCCUAUGUACAGCCAGCGUUUGGUUUGUCUGUUCUGGGCUACUGUAGAAACAUGGCGGUUCAAUAUGGUGGAAGAGGACCCGCUCCCUCUGUUGAUGGAAAAUACUCUUAAGUAAGGAAAACACGAUUCUUAUAUAACGUUGAUUAUACACAAAUGUAAUAUUGAAUUUCUGCACAUAGAUCUUCUAAAAUGAUCCAAAUAAAACACUGAAACACUAAA
Dicentrarchus labrax (European seabass) is the source of this 636-nucleotide long non-coding RNA. RefSeq lists it as uncharacterized. The transcript is spliced from 2 exons. NCBI's taxonomy places the organism in Eukaryota, Metazoa, Chordata, Actinopteri, Moronidae. The record is from RefSeq and is a predicted model, not a curated record.